GUAGGGAAUCUUCCGCAAUGGACGAAAGUCUGACGGAGCAACGCCGCGUGAGUGAAGAAGGUUUUCGGAUCGUAAAACUCUGUUGUCGGAGAAGAACAAGCGGGAGACUAACUGUUCCCGCCUUGACGGUACCCGACCAGAAAGCCACGGCUAACUACGUGCCAGCAGCCGCGGUAAUACGUAGGUGGCAAGCGUUGUCCGGAUUUAUUGGGCGUAAAGCGAGCGCAGGCGGUUCCUUAAGUCUGAUGUGAAAGCCCACGGCUCAACCGUGGAAGGUCAUUGGAAACUGGGGAGCUUGAAUGCAGAAGAGGAGAGUGGAAUUCCAUGUGUAGCGGUGAAAUGCGUAGAUAUAUGGAGGAACACCAGUGGCGAAGGCGACUCUCUGGUCUGUUAUUGACGCUGAGGCUCGAAAGCGUGGGGAGCAAACAGGAUUAGAUACCCUUGUAGUCC
This 450-nucleotide ribosomal RNA is filed under the name uncultured bacterium. RNAcentral describes it as "bacterial SSU rRNA". It matches the Rfam family "Bacterial small subunit ribosomal RNA", at positions 354 to 796 of the family's 1533-position model. The record is from RNAcentral.